Molecule: long non-coding RNA, 265 nt
Organism: Ipomoea nil (Japanese morning glory)
Lineage: Eukaryota; Viridiplantae; Streptophyta; Magnoliopsida; Solanales; Convolvulaceae
Exons: 2
Source: RefSeq, a predicted model, not a curated record
CAUGACAAAAUAUCUAUCUGUUGAUAAUUUGGAUGGGGCAUUUGAAAGCGAUAGUCCGUAUUCUAUCCACAACAUAAAUGAGCUUCGAGAGCAUUGGUCAAAGUUCUUCUUUUCUAAGUGCUUAUAACUUUUAUUUUAUUGAUAAAAAGUAUUUUGUUUUGAUGAUAGUAUUGAGUUGGGCAUGUUUUGAUGAUAUUAUUGUAUUAAAGUAUGAGGAUUUUAAGUGCUAUUGUAUUUUGAUGAUAGUAUUUGCAUUGUGUUAAAA